RNAcentral lists this long non-coding RNA (728 nucleotides) under Homo sapiens (human). Its description in RNAcentral is "non-protein coding lnc-IL12RB2-4:1". Lineage: Eukaryota; Metazoa; Chordata; Mammalia; Primates; Hominidae. The record is from RNAcentral.
UGAGUUUGGAGACAGAGGUGUUCGUUAAGUUGAAACAGCACUGGAAAAGAAACUGAAAUUAGGAUUGUGAUUUGAGAGUCUUUCCUGCUAAGGAGUGCAUUUCAACAGAUCUAAGUGUGAGAUUACUAAAUAUAAACACAAGGGAUGUGAAUUGGGAAGAUAUUUAUAAAUAAGAGUGUCAAUGGAGUAGAAAGAAGAAUAGCAUUGUAAAAGGAAAACGAAAGAUAGAUGGAUGGACAGAUAGGGAAAUAGAAUAGCUCAAUUUGUUUAAACCUAGAAUAUAUUUUCUGUAUGGCUUAAAUAUAAAAGAAAAACCUAAAACGCUUUUAUACGUCUAUAAAGGCAUGAAGAAAAAUGUGGAAAGAUUCUCGUAAAUAUGUAUGAGAAGCAUGGAAAAAAAGGACAUUUGAAGCCAGAAGAGUGGAAUGUAGAAAAGAAUCUUAAUGAUUAUACAUCCACAUUUCAGAGUACUUCUCAUAGGGCUUCUGUUGAUGUACUCUAACUUGCUAAGAAAAAUUAUAUUUAAUUUUCCAACUAAUUUUUAACUGUCGAAAAGUGUGAAGAUUGAACAACACCUACAAUCCCGUUGAACUGGCCAAAAAGAAUGGGAUCUCUCCAGAACAAGUCAGUUCAACUCAGUAAAUACUUAUUGACUACCUGCCCUGUACCACUCAGUGUGCCAGAUGCUGAAGAUGAGGGAUCCUUGCGUGCAUAGAGUUUAUAAUCCA